CCUACGGGCGGCAGCAGUGAGGAAUAUUGGUCAAUGGACGAGAGUCUGAACCAGCCAAGUAGCGUGAAGGAUGACUGCCCUAUGGGUUGUAAACUUCUUUUAUAAAGGAAUAAAACGAGGCACGUGUGCCUUUUUGCAUGUACUUUAUGAAUAAGGAUCGGCUAACUCCGUGCCAGCAGCCGCGGUAAUACGGAGGAUCCGAGCGUUAUCCGGAUUUAUUGGGUUUAAAGGGAGCGUAGAUGGGUUGUUAAGUCAGUUGUUAAAGUUUGCGGCUCAACCGUAAGAUUGCAAUUGAUACUGGAAGUCUUGAGUACAGUUGAGGUAGGCGGAAUUCGUGGUGUAGCGGUGAAAUGCUUAGAUAUCACGAAGAACUCCGAUUGCGAAGGCAGCUUACUAAACUGCCACUGACAUUGAUGCUCGAAAGUGUGGGUAUCAAACAGGAUUAGAUACCCGAGUAGUC
RNAcentral lists this ribosomal RNA (460 nucleotides) under uncultured bacterium. RNAcentral's name for it is "partial 16S ribosomal RNA". It matches the Rfam family "Bacterial small subunit ribosomal RNA", at positions 338 to 795 of the family's 1533-position model. The record is from RNAcentral.